UACGGAGGAUCCAAGCGUUAUCCGGAUUUAUUGGGUUUAAAGGGUGCGUAGGCGGACUUAUAAGUCAGCGGUGAAAGUUUGCAGCUUAACUGUAAAAUUGCCGUUGAAACUGUUAGUCUUGAGUGUAAAUGAGGUAGGCGGAAUGUGUUGUGUAGCGGUGAAAUGCUUAGAUAUAACACAGAACACCAAUUGCGAAGGCAGCUUACUGGGAUACAACUGACGCUGAGGCACGAAAGCGUGGGGAUCAAACAGGAUUAGAUACCCUGGUAGUCCACGCAGUAAACGAUGAAUACUAGCUGUAUGCGAUAUACUGUAUGUGGCAAAGCGAAAGCGUUAAGUAUUCCACCUGGGGAGUACGUUCGCAAGAAUGAAACUCAAAGGAAUUGACGGGGGCCCGCACAAGCGGAGGAACAUGUGGUUUAAUUCGAUGAUACGCGAGGAACCUUACCCGGGCUUGAAAUGCAGACGACCGAAGUGGAAACACUUCUUCCAGCAAUGGCGUCUGUGUAGGUGCUGCAUGGUU
Molecule: ribosomal RNA, 523 nt
Filed under: uncultured bacterium
Lineage: Bacteria
Description: bacterial SSU rRNA
Rfam family: Bacterial small subunit ribosomal RNA
Source: RNAcentral